RNAcentral lists this transfer RNA (71 nucleotides) under Muntiacus reevesi (Reeves' muntjac). It matches the Rfam family "tRNA". Rfam says of the family: Transfer RNA (tRNA) molecules are approximately 80 nucleotides in length. Their secondary structure includes four short double-helical elements and three loops (D, anti-codon, and T loops). The record is from Rfam by way of RNAcentral. Lineage: Eukaryota; Metazoa; Chordata; Mammalia; Artiodactyla; Cervidae. RNAcentral also lists the same sequence under 5 other names.
CCCUGAUAGCUCAAACUGUAAAGAAUCUGCAUGCAAUGCAGGAGAUGCAGGUUUGAUCCCUGCAUCAGGAA